GAGGGUAUAGCUCGAGAGGUAGAGCGCAUGCUUAGCAUGCACGUGUCCUGGGUUCAAUCCCUAGUAUCUCCU
RNAcentral lists this transfer RNA (72 nucleotides) under Camelus bactrianus (Bactrian camel). It matches the Rfam family "tRNA". Rfam says of the family: Transfer RNA (tRNA) molecules are approximately 80 nucleotides in length. Lineage: Eukaryota; Metazoa; Chordata; Mammalia; Artiodactyla; Camelidae. The record is from Rfam by way of RNAcentral. RNAcentral also lists the same sequence under 1 other name.